Molecule: transfer RNA, 100 nt
Filed under: Metallosphaera sedula
Lineage: Archaea; Thermoproteati; Thermoproteota; Thermoprotei; Sulfolobales; Sulfolobaceae
Also listed under: 1 other name
Description: tRNA-Pro
Rfam family: tRNA
About the family: Transfer RNA (tRNA) molecules are approximately 80 nucleotides in length. Their secondary structure includes four short double-helical elements and three loops (D, anti-codon, and T loops).
Source: RNAcentral
GGGGCCGUAGUCUAGCUUGGAUUAGGAUGCCAGCCUGGGGAUAACUCCCUAACCACCAGAGCGCUGGUGGUCCCGGGUUCAAAUCCCGGCGGCCCCACCU